AGGUAAGCUACUAAGAGCGAAUGGUGGAUGCCUUGACUGGUAAAGGCGAUGAAGGACGUACCAGACUGCGAUAAGCUACGGGGAGCUGUCAAGAAGCUUUGAUCCGUAGAUUUCCGAAUGGGGCAACCCAAUGUAUAGAGAUAUACAUUACCUAUAUAGGAGCGAACGAGGGGAAUUGAAACAUCUUAGUACCCUCAGGAAAAGAAAUCAAUAGAGAUUGCGUCAGUAGCGGCGAGCGAAAGCGCAAGAGGGCAAACCCAGUGCUUGCACUGGGGGUUGUAGGACUGCAAUGUGCAAGAGCUGAGUUUAGCAGAACAUUCUGGAAAGUAUAGCCAUAGAGGGUGAUAGUCCCGUAUGCGAAAAACAAAGCUUAGCUAGCAGUAUCCUGAGUAGGGCGGGACACGAGGAAUCCUGUCUGAAUCCGGGUCGACCACGAUCCAACCCUAAAUACUAAUACCAGAUCGAUAGUGCACAAGUACCGUGAGGGAAAGGUGAAAAGAACUGAGGUGAUCAGAGUGAAAUAGAACCUGAAACCAUUUGCUUACAAUCAUUCAGAGCCCUAUGUAGCAAUACAGGGUGAUGGACUGCCUUUUGCAUAAUGAGCCUGCGAGUUGUGGUGUCUGGCAAGGUUAAGCAAACGCGAAGCCGUAGCGAAAGCGAGUCUGAAUAGGGCGCUUAGUCAGAUGCUGCAGACCCGAAACGAAGUGAUCUAUCCAUGAGCAAGUUGAAGCUAGUGUAAGAACUAGUGGAGGACUGAACCCAUAGGCGUUGAAAAGCCCCGGGAUGACUUGUGGAUAGGGGUGAAAGGCCAAUCAAACUUCGUGAUAGCUGGUUCUCUCCGAAAUAUAUUUAGGUAUAGCGUUGUGUCGUAAUAUAAGGGGGUAGAGCACUGAAUGGGCUAGGGCAUACACCAAUGUACCAAACCCUAUCAAACUCCGAAUACCUUAUAUGUAAUCACAGCAGUCAGGCGGCGAGUGAUAAAAUCCGUCGUCAAGAGGGAAACAACCCAGACUACCAGCUAAGGUCCCUAAAUCUUACUUAAGUGGAAAACGAUGUGAAGUUACUUAAACAACCAGGAGGUUGGCUUAGAAGCAGCCAUCCUUUAAAGAAAGCGUAAUAGCUCACUGGUCUAGUGAUUUUGCGCGGAAAAUAUAACGGGGCUAAAGUAAGUACCGAAGCUGUAGACUUGCACACAACUUAGAUUAUUUAAGUUUAGAAUAUGAGAAACUAAGUUAUAUGUUUAGUUAUAUUUUUACUGAUUUUUAUAGAGUAAAGAUAGAAAUAAAACUUAGUAAAAUCAGUAAAAAUAUUCUUAGACUAAAGUUAAGUAGUUUAAGUUGUGUGCAAGUGGUAGGAGAGCGUUCUAUUUGCGUCGAAGGUAUACCGGUAAGGAGUGCUGGAGCGAAUAGAAGUGAGCAUGCAGGCAUGAGUAGCGAUAAUUAAUGUGAGAAUCAUUAACGCCGUAAACCCAAGGUUUCCUACGCGAUGCUCGUCAUCGUAGGGUUAGUCGGGUCCUAAGUCGAGUCCGAAAGGGGUAGACGAUGGCAAAUUGGUUAAUAUUCCAAUACCAACAUUAGUGUGCGAUGGAAGGACGCUUAGGGCUAAGGGGGCUAGCGGAUGGAAGUGCUAGUCUAAGGUCGUAGGAGGUUAUACAGGCAAAUCCGUAUAACAAUACUCCGAGAACUGAAAGGCUUUUUGAAGUCUUCGGAUGGAUAGAAGAACCCCUGAUGCCGUCGAGCCAAGAAAAGUUUCUAAGUUUAGCUAAUGUUGCCCGUACCGUAAACCGACACAGGUGGGUGGGAUGAGUAUUCUAAGGCGCGUGGAAGAACUCUCUUUAAGGAACUCUGCAAAAUAGCACCGUAUCUUCGGUAUAAGGUGUGGUUAGCUUUGUAUUAGGAUUUACUCCGAAAGCAAGGAAACUUACAACAAAGAGUCCCUCCCGACUGUUUACCAAAAACACAGCACUCUGCUAACUCGUAAGAGGAUGUAUAGGGUGUGACGCCUGCCCGGUGCUCGAAGGUUAAUUGAUGGGGUUAGCAUUAGCGAAGCUCUUGAUCGAAGCCCGAGUAAACGGCGGCCGUAACUAUAACGGUCCUAAGGUAGCGAAAUUCCUUGUCGGUUAAAUACCGACCUGCAUGAAUGGCGUAACGAGAUGGGAGCUGUCUCAAAGAGGGAUCCAGUGAAAUUGUAGUGGAGGUGAAAAUUCCUCCUACCCGCGGCAAGACGGAAAGACCCCGUGGACCUUUACUACAGCUUGACACUGCUACUUGGAUAAGAAUGUGCAGGAUAGGUGGGAGGCUUUGAGUAUAUGACGCCAGUUGUAUAUGAGCCAUUGUUGAGAUACCACUCUUUCUUAUUUGGGUAGCUAACCAGCUUGAGUUAUCCUCAAGUGGGACAAUGUCUGGUGGGUAGUUUGACUGGGGCGGUCGCCUCCCAAAUAAUAACGGAGGCUUACAAAGGUUGGCUCAGAACGGUUGGAAAUCGUUCGUAGAGUAUAAAGGUAUAAGCCAGCUUAACUGCAAGACAUACAAGUCAAGCAGAGACGAAAGUCGGUCUUAGUGAUCCGGUGGUUCUGUGUGGAAGGGCCAUCGCUCAAAGGAUAAAAGGUACCCCGGGGAUAACAGGCUGAUCUCCCCCAAGAGCUCACAUCGACGGGGAGGUUUGGCACCUCGAUGUCGGCUCAUCGCAUCCUGGGGCUGGAGCAGGUCCCAAGGGUAUGGCUGUUCGCCAUUUAAAGCGGUACGCGAGCUGGGUUCAGAACGUCGUGAGACAGUUCGGUCCCUAUCUGCCGUGGGCGUAAGAAGAUUGAAGAGAUUUGACCCUAGUACGAGAGGACCGGGUUGAACAAACCACUGGUGUAGCUGUUGUUCUGCCAAGAGCAUCGCAGCGUAGCUAAGUUUGGAAAGGAUAAACGCUGAAAGCAUCUAAGCGUGAAGCCAACUCUAAGAUGAAUCUUCUCUAAGCUCUCUAGAAGACUACUAGUUUGAUAGGCUGGGUGUGUAAUGGAUGAAAGUCCUUUAGCUGACCAGUACUAAUAGAGCGUUUGGCUUAUCUUU
This 3056-nucleotide ribosomal RNA is filed under the name Campylobacter jejuni. RNAcentral describes it as "23S ribosomal RNA". It matches the Rfam family "Bacterial large subunit ribosomal RNA". Lineage: Bacteria; Pseudomonadati; Campylobacterota; Epsilonproteobacteria; Campylobacterales; Campylobacteraceae. The record is from RNAcentral.